This 222-nucleotide unclassified non-coding RNA is filed under the name uncultured Solirubrobacterales bacterium. Its description in RNAcentral is "contains 16S-23S intergenic spacer region". Lineage: Bacteria; Bacillati; Actinomycetota; Thermoleophilia; Solirubrobacterales. The record is from RNAcentral.
UCCGGUUUGUCACCGGCAGUCUCCUAUGAGUCCCCAACUGAAUGCUGGCAACAUAGGACGGGGGUUGCGCUCGUUGCGGGACUUAACCCAACAUCUCACGACACGAGCUGACGACAGCCAUGCACCACCUGUGAAGGUGUCCCGAAGGAAAACCGUGUUUCCACGGCGGUCACCUACAUGUCAAGCCCAGGUAAGGUGGGGAUGACGUGUCGCAACUAACCA